RNAcentral lists this ribosomal RNA (425 nucleotides) under uncultured bacterium. Its description in RNAcentral is "bacterial SSU rRNA". It matches the Rfam family "Bacterial small subunit ribosomal RNA", at positions 354 to 796 of the family's 1533-position model. The record is from RNAcentral.
GUGGGGAAUAUUGGACAAUGGGCGCAAGCCUGAUCCAGCCAUGCCGCGUGAGUGACGAAGGCCUUAGGGUUGUAAAGCUCUUUUGGCGGGGAAGAUAAUGACGGUACCCGCAGAAUAAGCUCCGGCUAACUUCGUGCCAGCAGCCGCGGUAAUACGAAGGGAGCUAGCGUUGUUCGGAAUCACUGGGCGUAAAGCGCACGUAGGCGGAUGUGUCAGUCAGGGGUGAAAUCCCGGAGCUCAACUUCGGAACUGCCCUUGAUACAGCACGUCUUGAGUCCGAGAGAGGUGGAUGGAAUUCCUAGUGUAGAGGUGAAAUUCGUAGAUAUUAGGAAGAACACCGGUGGCGAAGGCGGUCCACUGGCUCGGUACUGACGCUGAGGUGCGAAAGCGUGGGGAGCAAACAGGAUUAGAAACCCUUGUAGUCC